RNAcentral lists this ribosomal RNA (496 nucleotides) under uncultured bacterium. RNAcentral's name for it is "partial 16S ribosomal RNA". It matches the Rfam family "Bacterial small subunit ribosomal RNA", at positions 28 to 507 of the family's 1533-position model. The record is from RNAcentral.
GAUGAACGCUGGCGGCGUGCCUAAUACAUGCAAGUCGAGCGAACAGACGAGGAGCUUGCUCCUCUGACGUUAGCGGCGGACGGGUGAGUAACACGUGGAUAACCUACCUAUAAGACUGGGAUAACUUCGGGAAACCGGAGCUAAUACCGGAUAAUAUAUUGAACCGCAUGGUCAAUAGUGAAAGACGGUUUUGCUGUCACUUAUAGAUGGAUCCGCGCCGCAUUAGCUAGUUGGUAAGGUAACGGCUUACCAAGGCAACGAUGCGUAGCCGACCUGAGAGGGUGAUCGGCCACACUGGAACUGAGACACGGUCCAGACUCCUACGGGAGGCAGCAGUAGGGAAUCUUCCGCAAUGGGCGAAAGCCUGACGGAGCAACGCCGCGUGAGUGAUGAAGGUCUUCGGAUCGUAAAACUCUGUUAUUAGGGAAGAACAAAUGUGUAAGUAACUAUGCACGUCUUGACGGUACCUAAUCAGAAAGCCACGGCUAACUACGUG